AUUGAACGCUGGCGGCAGGCCUAACACAUGCAAGUCGAGCGGAUGAAGGGAGCUUGCUCCUGGAUUCAGCGGCGGACGGGUGAGUAAUGCCUAGGAAUCUGCCUGGUAGUGGGGGAUAACGUCCGGAAACGGGCGCUAAUACCGCAUACGUCCUGAGGGAGAAAGUGGGGGAUCUUCGGACCUCACGCUAUCAGAUGGGCCUAGGUCGGAUUAGCUAGUUGGUGGGGUAAAGGCCUACCAAGGCGACGAUCCGUAACUGGUCUGAGAGGAUGAUCAGUCACACUGGAACUGAGACACGGUCCAGACUCCUACGGGAGGCAGCAGUGGGGAAUGUUGGACAAUGGGCGAAAGCCUGAUCCAGCCAUGCCGCGUGUGUGAAGAAGGUCUUCGGAUUGUAAAGCACUUUAAGUUGGGAGGAAGGGCAGUAAGUUAAUACCUUGCUGUUUUGACGUUACCAACAGAAUAAGCACCGGCUAACUUCGUG
RNAcentral lists this ribosomal RNA (484 nucleotides) under uncultured bacterium. RNAcentral describes it as "partial 16S ribosomal RNA". It matches the Rfam family "Bacterial small subunit ribosomal RNA", at positions 30 to 507 of the family's 1533-position model. The record is from RNAcentral.